ACGCACGCUGGCGGCGUGCUUCACCCAUGCAAGUCGUACGGUAAGGCCCUUUCGGGGGUACACGAGUGGCGAACGGGUGAGUAACACGUGAGUAACCUGCCCACAACUUUGGGAUAACGCUAGGAAACUGGUGCUAAUACUGGAUAUGUGCUCCUGCUGCAUGGUGGGGGUUGGAAAGCUCCGGCGGUUGUGGAUGGACUCGCGGCCUAUCAGCUUGUUGGUGGGGUAGUGGCCUACCAAGGCGGCGACGGGUAGCCGGCCUGAGAGGGUGACCGGCCACAUUGGGACUGAGAUACGGCCCAGACUCCUACGGGAGGCAGCAGUGGGGAAUAUUGCACAAUGGGCGCAAGCCUGAUGCAGCAACGCCGCGUGCGGGAUGACGGCCUUCGGGUUGUAAACCGCUUUCAGCAGGGACGAAGCUUUUUGUGACGGUACCUGCAGAAGAAGCACCGGCUAACUACGUG
RNAcentral lists this ribosomal RNA (464 nucleotides) under uncultured bacterium. RNAcentral describes it as "partial 16S ribosomal RNA". It matches the Rfam family "Bacterial small subunit ribosomal RNA", at positions 29 to 507 of the family's 1533-position model. The record is from RNAcentral.